GGCUCAGGACGAACGCUGGCGGCGUGCCUAAUACAUGCAAGUCGAACGCUUCUUUUUCCACCGGAGCUUGCUCCACCGGAAAAAGAGGAGUGGCGAACGGGUGAGUAACACGUGGGUAACCUGCCCAUCAGAAGGGGAUAACACUUGGAAACAGGUGCUAAUACCGUAUAACAAUCAAAACCGCAUGGUUUUGAUUUGAAAGGCGCUUUCGGGUGUCGCUGAUGGAUGGACCCGCGGUGCAUUAGCUAGUUGGUGAGGUAACGGCUCACCAAGGCCACGAUGCAUAGCCGACCUGAGAGGGUGAUCGGCCACAUUGGGACUGAGACACGGCCCAAACUCCUACGGGAGGCAGCAGUAGGGAAUCUUCGGCAAUGGACGAAAGUCUGACCGAGCAACGCCGCGUGAGUGAAGAAGGUUUUCGGAUCGUAAAACUCUGUUGUUAGAGAAGAACAAGGAUGAGAGUAACU
RNAcentral lists this ribosomal RNA (467 nucleotides) under Enterococcus faecium. Its description in RNAcentral is "bacterial SSU rRNA". It matches the Rfam family "Bacterial small subunit ribosomal RNA", at positions 21 to 465 of the family's 1533-position model. The record is from RNAcentral. Lineage: Bacteria; Bacillati; Bacillota; Bacilli; Lactobacillales; Enterococcaceae.